RNAcentral lists this ribosomal RNA (253 nucleotides) under uncultured bacterium. RNAcentral describes it as "partial 16S ribosomal RNA". It matches the Rfam family "Bacterial small subunit ribosomal RNA", at positions 524 to 776 of the family's 1533-position model. The record is from RNAcentral.
UACAGAGGUCCCGAGCGUCGUUCGGAUUCAUUGGGCGUAAAGGGUGCGUAGGCGGUCUUCUAAGUUUGAUGUGAAAUCCCGGGGCUCAACCCUGGAAUGGCAUUGAAUACUGGAGGACUAGAGUACCGGAGAGGAAACUGGAAUUUACGGUGUAGCAGUGAAAUGCGUAGAGAUCGUAAGGAAGACCAGUGGCGAAGGCGAGUUUCUGGACGGUAACUGACGCUGAGACACGAAAGCGUGGGUAGCAAACAGG